CGCGGGGCGACCACGGAGCCCGCACCACCCGCUGCCGGAGCCGCCCCGGGGUGACNCGGGCCUCACGGAGCCGCCCGGGCCCCUCGGCCGAGACGGGGACGGCAGCCCAGGCGUGCCUGACGCUUCAGGUCCUCAGCGAGCCCCGGCAGCCGAUACAUCUUUUCCGUGAGACGGGAAGAAACGCAGACCUGUGCAUAAGAGUGGCUGUACAGAAUAAGUACGGUACCAGAUGCUGUGGAAGGCUUGGGGUUUAGGACUAAGUCCGUCAUCGACCAUUGAACUGCAGACAAGUAGACAGACAGCUUGGAAAAUCUUGCAGGCCCAAAGGAUUUUCUUCAUGCCAGAACUUGCCCUGUGCCUCUUUACUAAAGCUGCAAGACUUUACCUGGAGGAGAGAGGCCUUGGAGCUUUUAUUGUGCCUUGCAAGCCCAGAUUACGUCGAUCACGUUGACUGGUCACAGAAACUUGACCCAUGCAAAGAACAUCAGAGGCUUUUUGGGACCCAUGAGACAGCAACACAGCCCCCUACACCAACUAAAGAUCACAUCUUUAGCACAGGAUACUGAUUUUGCUGCUUCAGUAAUAAAGUAUGUCUAAGCAUUAGGACUGUCUGUGGU
This is a long non-coding RNA of Cyanistes caeruleus (blue tit), 617 nucleotides long. NCBI's taxonomy places the organism in Eukaryota, Metazoa, Chordata, Aves, Passeriformes, Paridae. The record is from Ensembl.